UCCACGCCUGGCAACAGCCAAUCAGUCCUUAAGAAAAUCAAUAUAAAGCAGAUUGAUUAAGCCAGCGACCAUUGUUCAUACCAAGCUGAAAUCAUUACUAGCCAAUAGGAGUAGGCCAAGCAAAUGUCAACCAAUGGUCACUGCCAAGUUGGAAAGUCCCUCACCCUGCUACCACGAUAAAGGCUAAAUGCUGUCCUGAGAGGGUUUAUUAUGAGAAAAACUGGCAAUCAAACUUUUAAUAAUGAACCUUAGAAGAAAGAAAUAAUGAGAAGAAUAUUUCAAGAGACCCACUCUAUCUUUACUGCUCACAGCACCGUCAAAGGCUCCAUGAUUCCACAGCAAGUGCUCUGGGAAGAGCACCGUCUACUUUAAAGUCAAAGAAAUGUCUUCAUUUGUGGAAAAUUGGUGGAAUCUGGCUACGUAGAGUGAAUCAUUUAGACUGAAUAAUUAUUGCCAUUAUUAUUAACUGUUUCAUUGCCUGUAAGGAUCUGCCGUCUUCUCCCAGUUCCUCUCUGAUGGCUUGCAAUGGCAGAGGCUCAAGGUUUUAAAAGUAAUAGCACAGUUACCAUUCCCUAGAAUAACCUCCAAACUGACAAAUAUUGUUAGUUUUUAAACAGAAAAAAUAUAAGAGGAAAUGACAAAGGAAAGUGGAUCGAUCGAGGUGUUGCGUCAGGAGAACUGCAGGUGGGAGAAUCAGAGGA
This 701-nucleotide small RNA is filed under the name Rattus norvegicus (Norway rat). Its description in RNAcentral is "uncharacterized LOC108351454". The record is from RNAcentral. Lineage: Eukaryota; Metazoa; Chordata; Mammalia; Rodentia; Muridae.